CGCCUGUUUAUCAAAAACAUGUCUUUUAGAUUUUAUUAAAAGUCUGACCUGCCCAAUGAAAUUUUUUAAUGGCCGCGGUAUUUUGACCGUGCAAAGGUAGCAUAAUCAUUUGUCUCUUAAUUAGAGGCUGGAAUGAAUGGUUGGACGAGAAAUCAACUUUCUUUAAUAUAUACUUAAAACUUAAUUUUUAAGUCAAAAAGCUUAAAUUUUAUUAAGGGACGAGAAGACCCUAUAGAACUUUAUUAAUUUAUUAAACCACACAAUUUUUUUUAUUUACUUGUGUGGUUUAUGUAUAUUAAUUGUGUUGGGGUGACAUAGAAAUUUUAUUAACUUUCUUUUUUUCUACUCAUUGAUUAGUGUAUUUUUAAGAUCCAGGUUUAUCCUGAUUAUAAGUUUAAGUUACCUUAGGGAUAACAGCGUAAUUCUUUUGGAGAGUUCAAAUCGAUGAAAGAGUUUGCGACCUCGAUGUUGGAUUAAAAUUAGUAUUAGGAGUAGAAGAUUAAAUACUAGGUCUGUUCGACCUUUAAAUUUUUACAUGAUCUGAGUUCAAACCGGAG
RNAcentral lists this ribosomal RNA (557 nucleotides) under Phymata pacifica. RNAcentral's name for it is "partial 16S ribosomal RNA". It matches the Rfam family "Bacterial large subunit ribosomal RNA", at positions 1797 to 2621 of the family's 2925-position model. Lineage: Eukaryota; Metazoa; Arthropoda; Insecta; Hemiptera; Phymatidae. The record is from RNAcentral.